CCUACGGGAGGCUGCAGUGAGGAAUAUUGGUCAAUGGACGAGAGUCUGAACCAGCCAAGUAGCGUGAAGGAUGACUGCCCUAUGGGUUGUAAACUUCUUUUAUAUGGGAAUAAAACGUUCCACGUGUGAGAUUUUGUAUGUACCAUAUGAAUAAGGAUCGGCUAACUCCGUGCCAGCAGCCGCGGUAAUACGGAGGAUCCGAGCGUUAUCCGGAUUUAUUGGGUUUAAAGGGAGCGUAGGUGGAUUGUUAAGUCAGUUGUGAAAGUUUGCGGCUCAACCGUAAAAUUGCAGUUGAAACUGGCAGUCUUGAGUACAGUAGAGGUGGGCGGAAUUCGUGGUGUAGCGGUGAAAUGCUUAGAUAUCACGAAGAACUCCGAUUGCGAAGGCAGUUCACUGGACUGCAACUGACACUGAGGCUCGAAAGUGUGGGUAUCAAACAGGAUUAGAUACCCGGGUAGUC
Molecule: ribosomal RNA, 460 nt
Filed under: uncultured bacterium
Lineage: Bacteria
Description: partial 16S ribosomal RNA
Rfam family: Bacterial small subunit ribosomal RNA
Source: RNAcentral